UACGUAGGGCGCAAGCGUUAUCCGGAAUUACUGGGCGUAAAGCGCACGUAGGCGGAUCUUUAAGUCAGGGGUGAAAUCCUGGAGCUCAACUCCAGAACUGCCUUUGAUACUGAGGACCUUGAGUUCGGGAGAGGUGAGUGGAACUGCGAGUGUAGAGGUGAAAUUCGUAGAUAUUCGCAAGAACACCAGUGGCGAAGGCGGCUCACUGGCCCGAUACUGACGCUGAGGCACGAAAGCGUGGGGAGCAAACAGG
This 253-nucleotide ribosomal RNA is filed under the name uncultured bacterium. RNAcentral's name for it is "partial 16S ribosomal RNA". It matches the Rfam family "Bacterial small subunit ribosomal RNA", at positions 524 to 776 of the family's 1533-position model. The record is from RNAcentral.